AAGUUUUCCUGUGCUUGGUUAAACAAGAUGAGAGAUUGUGCUGUUUCCUCUAAACUCUAGAGAUUGCCCACAGUUCCCUGGAGCCUUAAAAAAUCACAAUUCGAGGGAGCUUCCUCAGCUCCAUUUGAGAUGUCCAAUGGGGCCAAGUCUUAAAAACAACGAUGAAUUAAAACCACAUUUUGUGCCAAAUCUCAUCUUAUAUUUUGAGGUAUAGAAGAAUUAAGCAGAGCAAUAAUGUCUGCAUCGGAAUACACAUGAGCAUGAAGAGCCGAGGAGUUUCUUACUCUGAACAAGGUUUUUAGAGGAAGUCUAUGUCAAAAAGGACAAUCUUUUGGGGAUUUCAGUUGCGCAUAUACACUCUUCACAGGUGUACCUCAAUUUGUGACCACACACAAACACUGAUAAUGGCCUCAAACUAGGACCAUCCACUCAGAACACCCCAUGGCCCUGCAAUUUGCUGGAUGUAGAGUAAAUGUUCAUGUUUACACAUAAACAGAAUUAGCCCUCCCAUGAGGCAGGGUGAAGAGGCUGCCUCGGACAGCCGAAGAGCAAGAAGUGGUACCCUGCCCUGCCCCACCUCUUCCACCAGAGGCAGAACACCCACUCUCCUUGGGAGUGUUCCAGCACAUGGCAUUAUCGUCCAUCCUCCCUGCUCCUGGGGUGGAGAAGAUGAACCUCAAGGCCUAGCAGAAUGCUGCCCCUCUCUCUGAGUUCGGUGAGAGGGAAGCAUAGAUUUUUGUUAUGUGUGUACAUACCCCCAUGGAACUUCCCAAGUAGGAGCAGGGCAUGUUGUGUUUCCCAGUUCUUAUGCUGCUUUUGAGGAGGCACAGCUGCCCUCAGGUAGGUUUUCCAUGCCAGUUUAAAUGGUGAAUAUGGAUUAUUUUAAUCUGAGGACCCACUUGGUGCUCGUAUGAGGAAACGGAUGAACCUGAAGGUUUGCUCUGGGAUAGUUCAGCAACUCACAAUACAUUGCUAAUGGAAGCAACAAGCACACCGUGUGAAGAUGCGGCAGCUGCAAUUUUUGGGUGGUCUUAUGGCACGUGAAAAUAACUCGAACCGGGCCUUCCCGACAGAGAACGAGGUGGCCAGGCAGUUUCAACCAACAGGCUAUAACAAAGUUGGUGUUGAAUGUCUUGGUUCAUUGUGGGUUUCAACAUUCUGCAUUUUCCCACUAACAACUAGGGGCAGCCAAGGAAGUGGAGCAGCAGUGAGGAAACACAACAUGUCAUGGCAUGAGGAAGCAAGCAAUUUCUUACAGACAACAGAGAUGGCUAAGGGGUAGAAUGUGGCAGGGUAUUUUUUGGUAGCAACCACAGGUUUAGCAUAAUGCUCUGGUUUGGCCUGCAAGUAGUAAAGUUCAUUAUUAAUAAUAUUUCCGCUCCUUUCCCCCUCCAUCAUGUCAUGAGCCUUUGAAGCCUCUGCUGUUCCUCACUACCAGGAUGGGGUGCGUGGGGAGAGAACAGCCCUCAGGUGGCCCAGUGCCAGGGCAAUCGUGAACAAAACAGGAAAACCACAAAUAUGUCUGCAAAGGUUUUUACUGGUUUCUAGAAUCAGGAAACUUGGUGUCUGCUUUAACAAUGCUGUUUGUGCAGGACUAAUAAAUGGGUGCUU
Molecule: long non-coding RNA, 1611 nt
Filed under: Podarcis lilfordi (Lilford's wall lizard)
Lineage: Eukaryota; Metazoa; Chordata; Lepidosauria; Squamata; Lacertidae
Source: RNAcentral